Molecule: ribosomal RNA, 383 nt
Filed under: uncultured eukaryote
Lineage: Eukaryota
Description: partial 18S ribosomal RNA
Rfam family: Eukaryotic small subunit ribosomal RNA
Source: RNAcentral
CAAUAGCGUAUGUUAAAGUUGUUGCAGUUAAAAAGCUCGUAGUUGGAUUUCUGGUGGGAGCGAUCGGUCUGGCGCUUAGCGCGAGUACUUGCAUCGUCUCCGGCCAUCCUUGGGGAGAGUCUGUCUGGCAUUAAGUUGUCGGGCAGAGGAUCCUCAUCGUUUACUGUGAAAAAAUUAGAGUGUUCAAAGCAGGCUUAUGCCGUUGAAUAUAUUAGCAUGGAAUAAUAAGAUAGGACUUUGGUACUAUUUUGUUGGUUUGCGCACCAAAGUAAUGAUUAAUAGGGACAGUUGGGGGUAUUCGUAUUCCGUUGUCAGAGGUGAAAUUCUUGGAUUUACGGAAGACGAACUACUGCGAAAGCAUUUACCAAGGAUGUUUUCAUUAA